RNAcentral lists this unclassified non-coding RNA (374 nucleotides) under uncultured bacterium. RNAcentral describes it as "contains 16S-23S intergenic spacer region". The record is from RNAcentral.
UCCGGUUUGGCACCGGCAGUCUCCUACGAGUCCCCGCCAUAACGCGCUGGCAACAUAGGAUAGGGGUUGCGCUCGUUGCGGGACUUAACCCAACAUCUCACGACACGAACUGACGACAGCCAUGCAGCACCUCACCAGGUGCCCGAAGGAAGCCCCCUUUCAGGGGCUGUCACCUGAUGUUCGAGCCUGGGUAAGGUUCUUCGCGUUGCAUCGAAUUAAUCCACAUGCUCCACCGCUUGUGCGGGCCCCCGUCAAUUCCUUUGAGUUUCACCCUUGCGAGCGUACUCCCCAGGUGGAGUGCUUAACGCGUUAGCUUAGACAGUGCGCCCCAAUCGGCGCACCAUCGAGCACUCAUCGUUUACGGCGUGGACUAC